GCUUACGGCCACACCACCCUGAGCACGCCCGCUCUCGUUUGAUCUCGGAAGCCAAGCAGGUUCGGGCCUGGUUAGUACUUGGAUGGGAGACCGCCUGGGAAUACCAGGUGCUGUAAGCAU
This 120-nucleotide ribosomal RNA is filed under the name Misgurnus anguillicaudatus (oriental weatherfish). Lineage: Eukaryota; Metazoa; Chordata; Actinopteri; Cypriniformes; Cobitidae. The record is from RNAcentral.